Molecule: ribosomal RNA, 465 nt
Filed under: uncultured Klebsiella sp.
Lineage: Bacteria; Pseudomonadati; Pseudomonadota; Gammaproteobacteria; Enterobacterales; Enterobacteriaceae
Description: bacterial SSU rRNA
Rfam family: Bacterial small subunit ribosomal RNA
Source: RNAcentral
CCUACGGGCGGCAGCAGUGGGGAAUAUUGCACAAUGGGCGCAAGCCUGAUGCAGCCAUGCCGCGUGUGUGAAGAAGGCCUUCGGGUUGUAAAGCACUUUCAGCGGGGAGGAAGGCGGUGAGGUUAAUAACCUCAUCGAUUGACGUUACCCGCAGAAGAAGCACCGGCUAACUCCGUGCCAGCAGCCGCGGUAAUACGGAGGGUGCAAGCGUUAAUCGGAAUUACUGGGCGUAAAGCGCACGCAGGCGGUCUGUCAAGUCGGAUGUGAAAUCCCCGGGCUCAACCUGGGAACUGCAUUCGAAACUGGCAGGCUAGAGUCUUGUAGAGGGGGGUAGAAUUCCAGGUGUAGCGGUGAAAUGCGUAGAGAUCUGGAGGAAUACCGGUGGCGAAGGCGGCCCCCUGGACAAAGACUGACGUUCAGGUGCGAAAGCGUGGGGAGCAAACAGGAUUAGAUACCCUUGUAGUC